CUGGGGUGUAAUUCUGCUAUCAGGGGAGAAUAUGUCCAUUAUAUGGCGCUAUAUGGCGGCACACAGUAUACGUCUAGGAGAAGUCCAGUCAGACUAAUACAAGGAGACGGCGAGCCGGCGAGAAGUCUAGAGAAACAUCUGGAAAAUGUCGAAUUGUUCUCAUCCCAGAAGGAACCAUAAAGAAUCGUAAACUGGACGGAGAGGACGCUGCCAGACAUCUUCUCUAUUAGAAUGUAUAGAGCCAGGACGUUCCCGGGAAUCACAGAAAUGUCCCUGGUCUGAAGAAGCCGCCACAGAAUUGCGCAAGGAAUGGUAACCCUCAGAAGACCGCGCCGCCACCCAAGGGAAACACUCCGCGCCUCCUUGUAACAUCUGAAGAGAGUCAAUAAUCGGGCACUUGACUCUCCCAGCGAGCGAGGAGGACUGGAAUUCCACCGCCAGAUACUCACUGUGGGAUAUUGCAAAACACGAACUAGAGAUAUCAGCAACACAGCGAGAUACGGCAAUAAUAGUGCAGCCACAUAAAAUAAAAAAGUUAU
This is a long non-coding RNA of Hyla sarda, 539 nucleotides long. RefSeq lists it as uncharacterized. The transcript is spliced from 3 exons. The record is from RefSeq and is a predicted model, not a curated record. Lineage: Eukaryota; Metazoa; Chordata; Amphibia; Anura; Hylidae.